Molecule: long non-coding RNA, 504 nt
Organism: Xenia sp. Carnegie-2017
Lineage: Eukaryota; Metazoa; Cnidaria; Anthozoa; Malacalcyonacea; Xeniidae
Exons: 2
Source: RefSeq, a predicted model, not a curated record
GUAUUUAUUUAUUAACAGUAUGGAAGAUCGUUGUGGACGAUAUUUCAAAAGAUGACAAAGUUUUAUACCAUGAACAUUCCACCACGUAAAACGAUAUUUAACGAAAACAUUUUUAUGUUGUCUUUUCUCCAUAAAGCGUGGACCAACAUUCACCACAAGUAGAUAAAUCAGAGAGGCAAGUAAUGGAUUGGCUAACGACGAUACAAGCAGCCAAUCUUUUGUUCUGGGAUCUACAGUUGAUAAAGUGAUAAAACGGUAAAUAGUGCAUUUGUCCGUAAUGUACAGACGAUAGGAAAAUUUUAAUUCCAAACGGCUAAACAAUUAACAUUGACAUUGACUUCAGCAAAGACUUGCUAUUUUUGUUGAGAUGAUCAUUGAAGAAAUCAAAAAGCAUUCCAAAAUAUAAGUGUUUUUUUCUCGUAUGUAAAUAAUUCUUUUACAUUUAUGAAUUAUGCUCGGUGAAUAUAAAAUUAAUGAAAACAGAAAUAUUCUUCCUGCAAUGAA